CCUACGGGAGGCUGCAGUCGAGAAUCAUUCACAAUGGGGGAAACCCUGAUGGUGCGACGCCGCGUGGGGGAAUGAAGGUCUUCGGAUUGUAAACCCCUGUCAUGUGGGAGCAAAUUAAAAAGAUAGUACCACAAGAGGAAGAGACGGCUAACUCUGUGCCAGCAGCCGCGGUAAUACAGAGGUCUCAAGUGUUGUUCGGAAUCACUGGGCGUAAAGCGUUCGUAGGCUGUUUCGUAAGUCGUGUGUGAAAGGCGCGGGCUCAACCCGCGGACGGCACGUGAUACUGGGGGCCUAGAGGAAUGGAGAGGGAGCCGGAAUUCUCGGUGUAGCAGUGAAAUGCGUAGAUA
Molecule: ribosomal RNA, 347 nt
Filed under: uncultured bacterium
Lineage: Bacteria
Description: partial 16S ribosomal RNA
Rfam family: Bacterial small subunit ribosomal RNA
Source: RNAcentral